UUAAAGAUUCCAAACUAACAAGAUUCUUUCAGAAGUGCUCGACUGUAUAGCCUUAUAUGAGAUGUGCUACUUGUAUACAAAUCUACUAAGGAUGUUAUUUGGAAUUAUGGGUCCAACAAUCCAAUAGUUUGAGCCAUUUGACUGGUCAUGUGGGUCCCAUUAAAGCAAUCAGAUCAAGAGAUUGAUCAUUUAAGUUGUCCAGGGAAUCUCAUGGACCAAGCGGUGUAUGGAUGCCACUAGCUCUUGUUGAUCAUUGCAUAUUGCCCCCAUUGGUUCUGUUUUCGCCCCCAUUGGGUGAACACUGAGUUUUUACAUAUGCUCUAUAUGCAGGGAAACCGUUUGAUACAAUAGCUAUAAGAAAUAAGCAUUGUGUGCUCUACUCACUGCCCUUGGAUUUUCAUUUGGCCCAACUGUGUGGAGUACAGGCUGGGACAACAGGCCAACAUGCAGAGCUACUGUUGGAUAAGAUAGCUACAGGAAAUAUGCACCGUGUACUCUACUUACAGUCCUUGGAUUUUCAUUUGAACGUACAUUUUUCAAUUUUGGUUUAGAUCUGCCAUUUGUUGAAAUUGGCAUUCAACCCUAAGCAACUGAGAAACUUUAUAAGGUUAAACAUUGGUGUUUCUGUUUGAGAAAUGCUAUAAUCAAUUAUGUAGAGUGUGUCUUCUAACUUCUAUGCUGCUCCUUUCACUGUAAAUGUGGCAAACAUUUGUGUUGACUGUUGAUCUGGUGGGCUACUGCAUGGAUUUGCUAUAGACCAAGAAUCAGAGUGAUCUGACAAAUGUGGCCAUGCAAUUGUUGUUAGUUACAUUUUUUGAAUGUGGACUAUUGCUUUAACCAUUCCUUUUUCGAUCCAUUGAUUGUAUGGCUAGCUAUCACGGUCCAACACCUUUGCUGAAUUUUUUAUUUUUUAUUUAUUAUUUUUUUUUGCAGACAGUAAAACAAAACCAUCAUACAUAGGAUGCAUAACAACCAAGAACUAGAACAUAUAUAGACAAACUUUAGUAGGAACAUACAGGUGAUUGCCAUGGUUGUAGGAGUCUAUUGUCUCUGUUCUAGUUAUGGAAGGAGUGGUUUCACCAGCAUGAUAUGGUGCAAAAUUGAUAGACAUGCAAUGAUUUUGGGGUUGAUCUCUUUUUCUCCAUUGAGUCCCUUGCAGACUUCUUAGUGUUUGAAGUGGCGUGAUUUUCUUUUCUGGGAUGGACGGGUGUUGCGGGUUAGCUGGGGAAGGAGGAAGAUUGGAUGCCUGACUUGGAACUGAUGAUUUUGAAGUGGAAACUGUUGAUUUCUUUUUUGUUCUGGCCAAGUUCUGAUUAGCAGCAAACCUUUCCUUUAAUGGUGGCUUCUCCGAUUGGCAGUUGUAAUUAUUUGUAUCUCCAAGUUGCGGUGAUUCAACUCCAUCUGGUUUAUCACCACCUGCAUUGCUAUUUGAUUCCACCAACUUGUCCUUCUUAUGUACAAUGUCAAAGCUGUUAUCAGUAAUUUCUCCAGUGGCUGAAUCUUGUGCAUUGCCCUUCUGAACUCUGUCAUUCUCUUCUUGUUCCGAGAGACUAUUCACCUCAGCAUUUGCUUGCUCAAGCAAUGCUGCCACCUUUUGAGCGGCAAUUCUAUUGUAAUGGGCCUCAAAGUAAGCUUUCUUCUGAGCAACAGAGCCCAGGGUGGAGUAUUUCUGCACCUCUUCCAAGUGCCUGUUAUGAGAGGAGGAUGACCAUUUUCCCCAGUCUAGAGAUUCUGACGCAAACCUUCCAAAGGAGAUGGAUCCUUCCAAUACAAGGGCUGGAUCCACCUGUUGACUGUGGUGAUGAAGGGAGUUGUCAGUAGAAUGAGAGAAGCAGUUUUGUUGCAUAAGACAAGCUGAUUCUGCCAUUGCCUUUGCCUUUGCCUUUGUCUUUGUCUUUGCAGCAGCAGCAAGUAUGAACAGGGAAGCCCUCUAGAAUCUUGCCUCUCCUUUGAGAAAAAAAUUGUGACCAUCAAUUUGUAGCACUCUUGGAUUGCAGAAUUGCAUGUAUAACAGGGGAUAUUUAUUUAUUUAUUUUAUGCAUUAGCUGUAUGAAUAGGGGAUUUGAUUUGGUUUCCAUAAGCAUUUUUCAUGUCAUUUUUACUACAAGCUUUUAGUUUUGAGUGGUGAAAUAAUACUGGAGUUGUAUUGUGUUAAUGCAAAUAUCCCUAGUGGUGAUAUUUGCCAGCUACUUCUCGCUGUGAAUGCUAAGGUUUCAUCAUUAUUUUUUUGUCACUUCCUCUUGGCUAAACUGAAUUCUUUAGGACUGAAACAACAAAAUCUGUGGGUACUGUUGCUAAGAUGUAGUUAAAGAUCUGUGGAGGAUGCUGAUGUUGUCUAUGCAGAUAUGCAACAUGCUGAGAAAGAAAUAUGAUUGGAAAAGGCCUGUUGUUUUAAUACAUGCAGUAUUUUUAGAUGCAAGUUGUUUUAUAUGCUUGUUACCUUCUUUGUCAUCAGAGUGGAAAAUGCACCCUUCCUAGCCAUUUGUCUGUUGGAGCAAGUGAUUCGAUCACCCGGAUCCUUGUUGUGGAUCCAAUUAAGCUAAUGACAAUUCCUGAGAUUCGUCAACAUCCAUGGUUCCAACAUCAUCUUCCUGGCUACUUAGCCAUUCCUGCAAUAGAUGUGUUGCAAAGAGUGAAACAGCGCAGGGAUUUGUUUGGUGCUUUUGGUAGAAGCUCCAUAUGUGAUCAAGCUAGACAUCUUUACAACAAAUUCCAAUAUGGUGGCAAACUUGCUUCUUAUUUUGCUCCUCAGUGAGUUACAGUUGAACUAUAAUAAUGAGCGAUCUAGGUGCAGCUGUCAUAUGCUGCCGGGUCUCUCCAAAGCAGAAAGCCCUGGUAGGAUUUGUGAGCCUUUAUUGAUGUAACAUCAUCAUGUUUGUUCUAUUUCCUUUCAAUGAGACAUCGAACAAUUCUUUCCAUUGAUUUGAAUCCUGAGAUGGGUCUUGUUUUUCAGGUGAUGGGGCUGUGUUUUUUGUUGUCUGUAUUGGUUUCUAGCCCCGAUAAAGUGCUUUGCCAGAAAAGUGAAGUAGUAGUAGUUGCAACAACAAAUUGAGAUCACGAUAGAGUUCAACGAUUGCUCAAAACAAGUCGGUGCUUAUGUACAUUGUAUGGGCAAGUUGGGCCUGUGGCAAGCCAUAAUUGUCAUUCAAGCAGAGGAGUGAAUCUAGACCCAUUAAGCUAGUGGUCAAAGGAACUCAAGAACUGUGGUCCCCAAGACAAUUGAUUUCAUCCAGGUGCUCCACUUCCAAGAGGUCAGGUGCUUGCUAAAAAGGUGGUUGAACCCAAUGGUGAUCACAUAGAGGGUAAACCAGUUGUUGCAGCUUCCUCUUCCCAUGAAUCAAUCCCUUCCGUAUAUUGGAUUGGCCAUUGAAAGUCACCGGAUAUGCCCCAUGUAAGUUUUGGAUUGGAAUUUGACCCUGUCGCUUAUAGUGAAUGGGCCCCUCCUUUCAUUGACUUGUAUGGGAAGGAACGCAUUCUUACUGGGGCGUUGAUUGUCAUAGGAUAUGCUAUCCAAAUCACAUGAAAUGGUUGAAAUGUAAUUAAUUUAUUUUUAUUAUUUUGUCUUGCAGGUUGUAGGCCCAAACAGAUGAUAUAUGGCUGGAUGAAGGGAUUUCUUUUAUAUGUAUUCAAAACAUUUUCAACACAUUAUUGUAAAUAUUAUAUGUUUUUCAUUGUAAAGUAAUACAAUUUAUUUAGUAUUCAUUUUUAAUUGUGUUGUGCAACAUUUUUUAGGUUCUAAAUAUUUAAAAACAAUAUAGGUUCCAAUUAAAUAUAAACAAUCAAAUGGAUUAAGAAAAAAAUUAACUCGCGGUCAACACUUUUACAAGCAGUCAACAGUUUUUACUUGUGUAUAUUUAAAGGUUUUCCAUGGCAUAUGUUGGCCUUUCAUGACAUUUGAAUUAUGCCUAGCUUGUUAGGAACCUAUUACUGAUGCCUUCGUAGAUUUGCACCAACGUAUACCGGCGCUUUGAUAUGUCUAAAUGGCACUUCGGCAUGCCUUUUUCGGCAUUUUUCCAUAUCUUUCCCGGUGUUUUGGCAACCUUAUUGCAGUGGUCAAAAAUACUUUUACCGGUGCUUUGAUAUGUCUAGACAACUUUUCAUCAGGCCUUUACUGGCGUUUCUACAUAUUUUUUCCCAGUGUUGUGGCAACUUUUUGCGAUGCUUUUUGCAUCUUUUACCAGCAUUUUUUUC
Molecule: RNA transcript, 4191 nt
Organism: Magnolia sinica
Lineage: Eukaryota; Viridiplantae; Streptophyta; Magnoliopsida; Magnoliales; Magnoliaceae
Gene name: SNF1-related protein kinase catalytic subunit alpha KIN10-like
Exons: 8
Source: RefSeq, a predicted model, not a curated record